Molecule: ribosomal RNA, 161 nt
Filed under: Trebouxia arboricola
Lineage: Eukaryota; Viridiplantae; Chlorophyta; Trebouxiophyceae; Trebouxiales; Trebouxiaceae
Description: 5.8S ribosomal RNA
Rfam family: 5.8S ribosomal RNA
About the family: 5.8S ribosomal RNA (5.8S rRNA) is a component of the large subunit of the eukaryotic ribosome. It is transcribed by RNA polymerase I as part of the 45S precursor that also contains 18S and 28S rRNA.
Source: RNAcentral
UCUCAACAUCGGAUAUCUUGGCUCCCGUAACGAUGAAGAACGCAGCGAAAUGCGAUACGUAGUGCGAAUUGCAGAAUUCCGUGAACCAUCGAAUCUUUGAACGCAAAUUGCGCUCGAGGCUUCGGCCAAGAGCAUGUCUGCCUCAGCGUCGGCUACUACCC